Molecule: long non-coding RNA, 1365 nt
Organism: Bos taurus (domestic cattle)
Lineage: Eukaryota; Metazoa; Chordata; Mammalia; Artiodactyla; Bovidae
Source: Ensembl
UCCAGCUUGUACAUCUGGAAGUUCUCGGUUCCUGUACUGUUGAAGCCUAGCUUGAAGGAUUUUGAGCAUUAUCUUGCUAGCAUGUGAAAUCAGUGCAGUUGUGUGGUAGUUUUACCCAUCUGUAUGCAGAGUUCCAAAGAAUUAUAAGAAGAGAUAAGAAAGCCUUCUUAAGUGAACAAUGGAAAGAACUAGAGGAAAACAACAGAAUGGGAAAGACUAGAGAUCUCUUCAAGAAAAUUAGAGAUACCAACGGAACAUUUCAUGCAAAGAUGGGCACAAUAAAGGACAGAAAUGGUAUGGACCUAACAGAGGCAAAAGGUAUUAAGAAGAGGUGGCAGGAAUACACAGGAGAGCUGCCCAAUAAAGGUCUUAAUGAUCCAGAUAACCAUGAUGGUGUGAUUAUUCACCUAGAGCCAGACAUCCUGGAGUGUGAAGUCAAGUGGGCCUUAGGAAGCAUUACUACAAACAAAGCUAGUGGAGGUGAUGGAAUUCCAGCUGAGCGAUUUCAAAUCCUAAAAGAUGAUGCUGUUAGAGUGCUGCACUCAAUAUGUCAGCAAAUUUGGAAAGCUUAGCAGCGGCCACAGGACUGGAAAAGGCCAGCAAGCGCCUCUGCUCCUUGGAAGAGUUCAGAGAUCCAAGCGGAAGGAGACCCUCUCCCAACACUGACCACCGAAGUGGUGGAGAUGGAGCAGGAUGACCUGCAUGCCAACCCUAACGCUUUGCCUUAAAAGACACACAUCACAUCUGGUUAUGUUUCAUCAGCCAAAACAAGGCAUAAGGCACACCUACCUUCCAGAUGCCCAAAAGGCAGAACAAACUUGAAUGUCUGUGCAAAGCCUUGACGAUCCCUGUGGUCACCAAUCCAACACUCUGGAAAGUCGGAAAGGCUCUGAGAGGCCGUCUCCUCCAGAUUUCCUCCUGAGGGAGACAGCUUUCCUGCAGUUCGUGGAUUGCCCCCUGGUGCUCAGCCUCAGAGACUGCAGCGUCUCUGGAGAGGUGGACUCACAGCUGCUCUCACAGAGCCCAUCAUGCUCCGGGGGAGCCCUUGUCCAGCAAAAGCAGCUUAGAGCCAGAGCGUCUGGAGCUUGGUUUUGUUCUCUGGCCAUGUUACCCUGCCUAUGCAGCUCACCAUGCUAAGUCUGUGUUUCUCCUUCUGUAAAAUAGGAGUACUAUUUUAUUUAAAUUUGAAUUGAUGAUUCAAUGAGAUAAGUUCUAUGAAGCCCCUCUAUGGUUGUCACAUAACCAAAGACAAAGGCUUGCUCCCUCCCUCUUGUUCCUGCUGUGGGAUUGGAUAUAUUAAAACUUCUCUGCUCAUUGUAGAUAGUUAAAAAAAAAAAAUUAACUUGACUCUAAGCACAAUUAAAA